CCUACGGGAGGCAGCAGUGGGGAAUAUUGCACAAUGGGGGGAACCCUGAUGCAGCGACGCCGCGUGAGUGAAGAAGUAUUUCGGUAUGUAAAGCUCUAUCAGCAGGGAAGAAAAUGACGGUACCUGACUAAGAAGCCCCGGCUAACUACGUGCCAGCAGCCGCGGUAAUACGUAGGGGGCAAGCGUUAUCCGGAUUUACUGGGUGUAAAGGGAGCGCAGACGGCUGUGCAAGUCUGGAGUGAAAGGCGGGGGCCCAACCCCCGGACUGCUCUGGAAACUGUAAAGCUGGAGUGCAGGAGAGGUAAGCGGAAUUCCUAGUGUAGCGGUGAAAGGCGUAGAUAUUAGGAGGAACACCAGUGGCGAAGGCGGCUUACUGGACUGCAACUGACGUUGAGGCUCGAAAGCGUGGGGAGCAAACAGGAUUAGAUACCCGGGUAGUC
This 440-nucleotide ribosomal RNA is filed under the name uncultured bacterium. Its description in RNAcentral is "partial 16S ribosomal RNA". It matches the Rfam family "Bacterial small subunit ribosomal RNA", at positions 338 to 795 of the family's 1533-position model. The record is from RNAcentral.